AUAGCGUAUAUUAAAGUUGUUGAGGUUAAAAAGCUCGUAGUUGAACCUUGGGCCUAGCCGGCCGGUCCGCCUCACCGCGUGCACUGGCUCGGUUGGGCCUUUCCUUCUGGAGACCCCCAUGUCCUUCACUGGGUGUGGUGGGGAACCAGGACUUUUACCGUGAACAAAUCAGAUCGCUUAAAGAAGGCCUAUGCUCGAAUGUAUUAGCAUGGAAUAAUGGAAUAGGACGUGUGGUUCUAUUUUAUUGGUUUUGCGGACUGAGGUAAUGGUUAACAGAGACAAACGGGGGCAUUCGUACCGCUGCGUGAGAGGUGAAAUUCUUGGACCGCAGCGAGACGCACGACAG
RNAcentral lists this ribosomal RNA (346 nucleotides) under uncultured eukaryote. RNAcentral's name for it is "bacterial SSU rRNA". It matches the Rfam family "Eukaryotic small subunit ribosomal RNA", at positions 594 to 945 of the family's 1831-position model. The record is from RNAcentral.